This 768-nucleotide ribosomal RNA is filed under the name Streptomyces sp. SC5s6.2. RNAcentral describes it as "bacterial SSU rRNA". It matches the Rfam family "Bacterial small subunit ribosomal RNA", at positions 86 to 866 of the family's 1533-position model. The record is from RNAcentral. Lineage: Bacteria; Bacillati; Actinomycetota; Actinomycetes; Kitasatosporales; Streptomycetaceae.
GGUGGAUUAGUGGCGAACGGGUGAGUAACACGUGGGCAAUCUGCCCUUCACUCUGGGACAAGCCCUGGAAACGGGGUCUAAUACCGGAUAACACUCUGUCCCGCAUGGGACGGGGUUAAAAGCUCCGGCGGUGAAGGAUGAGCCCGCGGCCUAUCAGCUUGUUGGUGGGGUAAUGGCCUACCAAGGCGACGACGGGUAGCCGGCCUGAGAGGGCGACCGGCCACACUGGGACUGAGACACGGCCCAGACUCCUACGGGAGGCAGCAGUGGGGAAUAUUGCACAAUGGGCGAAAGCCUGAUGCAGCGACGCCGCGUGAGGGAUGACGGCCUUCGGGUUGUAAACCUCUUUCAGCAGGGAAGAAGCGAAAGUGACGGUACCUGCAGAAGAAGCGCCGGCUAACUACGUGCCAGCAGCCGCGGUAAUACGUAGGGCGCAAGCGUUGUCCGGAAUUAUUGGGCGUAAAGAGCUCGUAGGCGGCUUGUCACGUCGGAUGUGAAAGCCCGGGGCUUAACCCCGGGUCUGCAUUCGAUACGGGCUAGCUAGAGUGUGGUAGGGGAGAUCGGAAUUCCUGGUGUAGCGGUGAAAUGCGCAGAUAUCAGGAGGAACACCGGUGGCGAAGGCGGAUCUCUGGGCCAUUACUGACGCUGAGGAGCGAAAGCGUGGGGAGCGAACAGGAUUAGAUACCCUGGUAGUCCACGCCGUAAACGUUGGGAACUAGGUGUUGGCGACAUUCCACGUCGUCGGUGCCGCAGCUAACGCAUUAAGUU